CUCUAAUCCGUGGGAGGACCUUCAGCAACAUGAAGUCAUUAGUAAAUUGUGUUCUAUAUGAACGCAAGUUCAUAAACCAAAGUAAAGCAAGUGUUAUCAAUGUUCUACAGGAGAAAGCUUUUAAAAAGAUUGUGAAAUAUUGUCUUCUAACUGUGGACCAAUUUGUAAAAUUGGUAAGGAAUCGAUAAUAAGAAUUUCUAGUUCACUUAAUUGCUUUAGACCAAAGUGAUUCACUUGUCUCUUAAAUAAUCCAACACAUCCUUUCUAUAUGCAUUUCUAAUCGAUGGAACAUUAUUAGAAUUUGUAUACAAAUAAUAAUAAUUGUAUUAUUAAUUUUUAUUAGUAUUAUUCAUAAAAAUUUAUUAUCAUUAUUAUUAUUAUUAUUAUUAUUAUUAUUAUUAUUAUUAUUAUUAUUAUUAUUAUCAUUAUUAUCAUUAUCAUUAUCAUUAUCAUUAUCAUUAUCAUUAUCAUUAUCAUUAUCAUUAUCAUUAUUAUUAUUAUUAUUAUUAUUAUUAUUAUUAUUAUUAUUAUUAUUAUUAUUAUUAUUAUAAAUUCUGCUAUUGUUGUUAUUGGUUUUGCUGUCAUUGAUAUUGUUGUUGUAGUUACUGUUUUUUUCUGUUGUUUAUGUUUUAAUUGUUUUUGCUGUUGUUGCUGUUGUUAUUGUAUUUUGUUGUCAUUGUUUUUGUGGUUGUAGUCACUGUUUUUUAUGUUGUUUUGAUUGGUGUUUUAAUUGUUGUUGAUAUUGCUGCUGUUGUUGAUAUUAUAGUGUUUGCUUUUGUUUUGUUAUAUUGUUGUUUUGAUUGUUUUUGCUGUUAUUGUUUUUACUGUUAUAUUUUAAAGCAUUUACACUAACCUUUUACAUUUGUCAUUUUGGGGCCUUUUAUAGCUGACUAUACGGUACGGGGUUUGCUCGUUGUUGAAGGCCAUGCAGAAACAUAAUCGUUAAUUUCUGUGUCAUUUGGUCUCUUGUAGAGAGUUGUCUCAUUGGCAAUCAUACCACAUCUUAUUUUUUCAUAUUCACAACUGUGUGUAUUACAUUAGAUAAGUGAGGAUGCAGUACAUUUUAUUUGCUGUUUAUUUUUUGCUGCUACAUUUAGUAAUUGUGAGAUAUUAAAAUGUUAGGUGAUUUGGAGGAGCCUUCUAAGCUUCCAUCAAAGGAGCGUUUUCUUCGUAUAACCGAUAACAUGGAACACUAGCCUUCACACCUGGAAAAUUAAAAAGUAACAUUUCUGUACAUUUUAAUGGAUCAAAUGUCUAAUAGGUUUUAAAAAUAACACCAUUGCUUAUAUAAAACUUAAUUCCAAGAGACUUAUAUGACCUAUAAACAAUGAAAACAUAUUAAGAAGCGUGAAAAAAUAUUGCUAAUUAAAUAUAAUGACUUUGGAAUAUUUUUACGAGAGAAGUAUGUUAAAACGCCUUUGAUCUCUGAAAUCUAUAAACUACAAUCCAUUUAGUUCAUUAUCGUUAUGGUUUUUAUCCAUGCAAACCAAUCAUCAAGUAGCAACUUAGCUGGAAGCGGCAGAAUAUAGAACAACUUCAUAUCGGGUUACACGAACGGGGGUAAUCCGGUUCAGUAUUUUUUCGUGGUGCAGAAUUUCUCGAACAAGAAACAAAAACUUUUAAAAAAGAUAUCAAAACAAAUCGGUGAAGGUUGUAAUUCAGAGGACACGACUGCAACCACAGAAAAAAAAAAAAAAGAAAAGAGAAUUUCAAAAAUAUAUAGAAAAAACCGAGAGAACUUCAAAAAUAUAUACAGUGUUAUUCUUAUGCCUUUUUCAUUUAGCUGUUCAACUGUUUCGGUUCUUAUACAUCAUUGGAUUCAAAAGAUUUGGCUCUGAGCGUUCCCGGUGAUGUUUAAGCCAGAGAAGCGCUACAGAAGCAUACACUUUAAAAAGUUUUCUUUUCAAUUGUUGAAAGAACAAUACAAUAAGGAAGCAUGUCUCUUGGUUUCUGGCUCAUUGAAGUUAAACACCAUGUCACCUGUUAUUCUGUACAUACAUCAGAAAAUACAAGUGACAAUAAAAAUGAAAGGACAUUUGGAAAUGAAGAACUGUGAUAAAAUGUUGUUCUUUUGCUUUGGAUAUUGUCAAGUGCGUCUUUGAUUUUUGUGUCUUGAAUAAUAACAGCUUAUCCUUUCGUUUCCUCAACUACCAGGAGACAAGGCAUAUAUUUGACGUCUCAAAACAGCAAAGACUAUCAAAGAGAAUCAUAAAUAUCACCAGAAUCAUCAAAGAACAAGACAAAGCAUAAUACAAGACCUAUACCACUAAAAAUACCGAGAAACUGAACGAUCCAAUACCCCAAACCUUUCACAGAUGCUAAGGAAAGCUUAGGGACGAUUCAACCUCGAGACAGAUUUUUAAGGACAAUGCAAAUCUGUGACUGUACCAAGUCAGGCGCCUGAUAUAUUGUUAUUGUUGCUGUCUAUCCUAUUUAUUUUUCGUUUACUUGUUUAUUUUGUAAAUAAAUGAGACUGUUUCCUUUCUUGUUGGAAUCCUUUUAUUGUUGAAGUCCGAACAGUGACCUAUCGUUGCUUCAACCAUAUAUAUAAUAGCCAUUACUAGUAAUGAUAUAUAUAUAUAUAUAUAUGCUUCAACCUACGUCAUUUGGUCGCGGGUGAAGUUAUUUCAUUUGCAAUCAAACCAUAUUUUCUUCUUUUUUUACAGAAAGACCAGCAGAAGCAAAAUGAGAAAAAUGAUAUAAAGGGCUUUACAAGACCUUCAUCUGCAAGAUCAUGCUUUUGAUCCUCAAUGACCACAUGUAUUUAUAUGCAAAGACAGGUUAA
This 2785-nucleotide long non-coding RNA is filed under the name Mytilus galloprovincialis (Mediterranean mussel). Lineage: Eukaryota; Metazoa; Mollusca; Bivalvia; Mytilida; Mytilidae. The record is from RNAcentral.